Oryzias melastigma (Indian medaka) is the source of this 1968-nucleotide long non-coding RNA. RefSeq lists it as uncharacterized. Lineage: Eukaryota; Metazoa; Chordata; Actinopteri; Beloniformes; Adrianichthyidae. The record is from RefSeq and is a predicted model, not a curated record. The transcript has 4 exons.
GGAAGAGGAAGAGGAAGAGGAAAAGGAAGAGGAAGAGGAAGAGGAAGAGGAAGAUGAUGAUAGCUAAUCUACUGAGAUCAGCUGGAGCCAGUCAUGUUGAGGCAUCACAUCCCACCCCUAAAAAUAAUCUGUGAAGAAGUACAAGAUGGAGCUGAUAAAAAGAGUGACCGAGACUGAGCCGUUGUUGGAUCCACUUUGCCAUAUUAUGGUUCUUAGUGAUCAUUCCUUUUCUGAAAUCAAAGCUUUGAUGAGUGAACUGCUGAUCUUAAUAUAGACAGUUUAUAAGACUUGUUGUGAUAGUCAAAAUUAAAUAAUUUUUUUCUCUUAAAAAUACUGAAUAUUUUUAGUACAAAUGUAGCAAUCUAACGACAAAUUCAGAUUAUUUUUAUCACUGCAAUGUUACAUUACUAAUUUGUUUUCUUCUCUGAUGUUCAAUCAGCCUCACAGCUGUUUUGUCUCUAUGCAAUACUUUGGAUUUUGAUUUUAAGAAUAAAAUCUCAAUUUCAUGUGGAUCAACUGAAGUUUUUUUUUUUUUUUUUUAUUUCAGAUUAAAAUGCAUUUUCACAUUUAAUCAGAAUUACAUUUUGAUGUUCAUUUUUGUUCAGUUUCCCUGUAUAAUCCAUGCAUCUAUUUUCCUAACUCGUUGAAUCUCUUUUGUGUUGCUGGAGCCUAUCCUUGCUGAUGGCUGAAGGUUCCAUAUUGUUACAAUUAAACUACACUGCUCCGAAAAAUCAAGGGAACACCUAAACGACUCAAUGUUACUCCAAGUCAAUCUCACUUCUGUCUAAUCAUUUAGGAAACAACACUGACUGACCAUCAAUUUCACAUGUUUUUGUGAAAUUGGAAGAGACAACUGGUGGUAAUAACAGGCGAUCAGCGAUACACCUCCAAUAAAUGAGUGGUACUACAAGUGGUAGUGCGGUCAAAAACCCUUUGCCCUUCCGGCCAAAACACUUGACAAACACUGUGACGUCUUCCCUUAAAUACAGAAUCCCCCUACUGGGAGGAAGUUGAACUACAAUCACAUUUCAUGGUUCCUAUAGUCCAUCAUGACUGGUUUGUCAUUGUUUGGGUGGCAUUUUGUGACAGGGUGAACUGUUUUAUCUUGUUUAAAAUUCUGAGGGCCUCUGAAUGCGCCAUCACCAUGGCUGAAAAUUAGGCACAGGUGUGUCUAAUUGGAGAAGGAUUUGGAAAAUGACCUGAGCAGUAGAGACACAGGUAACAAGGGAGUGGCCCUCAGAAGUUGGGGACGCUCCAGCUGUCAGAGCCGCCCCCGAUAACGUUGGAGAACGCUGCUGAUAAAGGCACCAAAGAAUGGCUAAUUUUUGAUAGUACUCUUUUUAUAGUAGGCUUUGUACUUUACUGCCACCUUCUGUUCUGGAAUGUUUUAGAUUUGCUAUCACAACCAAUUACAAUUACAAUUUCUUUGGAGGGCUGCAGAGUGCUCCAUGUGCUCACAAGUGGUACUCUGAUUGCCAAUUGGUACCAAGGUGGGAUUCUCAGACCCCUUGUGAGACCAUAUCCUGAUGUGAUUGGCCCUUGGUUCCGAUUGGCCGUGGAAGACUAUGCCAGACCUCAUGAUGCUGGAGUGAGUCACCAGUUUCUGCUAGGUGAAGACCUAAAUCCACUUGAGCACAUCUGGGACAUCAUUCUCGGUCCAUCCACCAACUCCAGGUUGUAUCAUAGAUUGUCCAGGGGUUGGCUGAUGUUUUGGUCCAGGCUUGGAAGAAAAUUUCCCAGGAGACCAUCCUCCGCCUCAUCCGAAUCAUACCCAGGCGUUGCAGGAAAGUCAUGUGAGCAUGUGGAGGCCACGCCCACUAUUGAGCCUCAUUUUGACUUGAUUUAAAGACAUGGAAACAGUUGGAUCAGCCUGCUAUGAGAGGAAAACUAUAAAAUCAUUAUACGUCUUUUCUAUUGUCUUGCUGUUGUAAUAAACUGCAGAAUAAAGUUUGUCGAUAUCCACAAUGA